This 662-nucleotide ribosomal RNA is filed under the name Pseudomonas koreensis. RNAcentral describes it as "bacterial SSU rRNA". It matches the Rfam family "Bacterial small subunit ribosomal RNA", at positions 9 to 738 of the family's 1533-position model. The record is from RNAcentral. Lineage: Bacteria; Pseudomonadati; Pseudomonadota; Gammaproteobacteria; Pseudomonadales; Pseudomonadaceae.
GAGUUUGAUCCUGGCUCAGAUUGAACGCUGGCGGCAGGCCUAACACAUGCAAGUCGAGCGGAUGAAGGGAGCUUGCUCCUGGAUUCAGCGGCGGACGGGUGAGUAAUGCCUAGGAAUCUGCCUGGUAGUGGGGGACAACGUUUCGAAAGGAACGCUAAUACCGCAUACGUCCUACGGGAGAAAGCAGGGGACCUUCGGGCCUUGCGCUAUCAGAUGAGCCUAGGUCGGAUUAGCUAGUUGGUGAGGUAAUGGCUCACCAAGGCGACGAUCCGUAACUGGUCUGAGAGGAUGAUCAGUCACACUGGAACUGAGACACGGUCCUCGGGAGGCAGCAUUUGGACAAUGGGCGAAAGCCUGAUCCAGCCAUGCCGCGUGUGUGAAGAAGGUCUUCGGAUUGUAAAGCACUUUAAGUUGGGAGGAAGGGUUGUAGAUUAAUACUCUGCAAUUUUGACGUUACCGACAGAAUAAGCACCGGCUAACCUGUGCCAGCAGUCAGACAAUUAAUCGGAAUUACUGGGCGUAAAGCGCGCGUAGGUGGUUUGUUAAGUUGGAUGUGAAAUCCCCGGGCUCAACCUGGGAUGGCAAGCUAGAGUAUGGUAGAGGGUGGUUUUAGGUAGAUAUAGGAAGGAACACCAGGCGAAGGCGACCACCGACAUACCUAA